GGGUUAAAACUCGAAAUCAGUCACACUCGGUCAAACUCGUAAAAUCAGUCCGAUUUUACCGAUUUUAACCGAGUUUGAUCGAUUUCGAGUUUUAACCU
RNAcentral lists this microRNA precursor (98 nucleotides) under Populus trichocarpa (black cottonwood). RNAcentral's name for it is "miR6440b stem-loop (ptc-MIR6440b)". Lineage: Eukaryota; Viridiplantae; Streptophyta; Magnoliopsida; Malpighiales; Salicaceae. The record is from miRBase by way of RNAcentral.